This 490-nucleotide ribosomal RNA is filed under the name uncultured bacterium. RNAcentral's name for it is "partial 16S ribosomal RNA". It matches the Rfam family "Bacterial small subunit ribosomal RNA", at positions 30 to 507 of the family's 1533-position model. The record is from RNAcentral.
AUUGAACGCUGGCGGCAUGCUUUACACAUGCAAGUCGGACGGCAGCACAGAGAAGCUUGCUUCUUGGGUGGCGAGUGGCGAACGGGUGAGUAAUAUAUCGGAACGUACCGAGUAAUGGGGGAUAACUAAUCGAAAGAUUAGCUAAUACCGCAUAUUCUCUGAGGAGGAAAGCAGGGGACCUUCGGGCCUUGCGUUAUUCGAGCGGCCGAUAUCUGAUUAGCUAGUUGGUGGGGUAAAGGCCUACCAAGGCGACGAUCAGUAGCGGGUCUGAGAGGAUGAUCCGCCACACUGGGACUGAGACACGGCCCAGACUCCUACGGGAGGCAGCAGUGGGGAAUUUUGGACAAUGGGCGCAAGCCUGAUCCAGCCAUGCCGCGUGUCUGAAGAAGGCCUUCGGGUUGUAAAGGACUUUUGCCAGGGAAGAAAAGGCUGUUGCUAAUAUCAAUAGCUGAUGACGGUACCUGAAGUAUAAGCACCGGCUAACUACGUG